CCGAGUUGAUUCGAGCUCCGGCUCGACUCUCCCACCCAAUGUGUACCUACCUCUGUUGCUUUGGCGGGCCGCGGUCCUCCGCACCGGCGCCCUUCGGGGGCUGGCCAGCGCCCGCCAGAGGACCAUAAAACUCCAGUCAGUGAACUUCGCAGUCUGAAAACAGUUAAUAAACUA
RNAcentral lists this unclassified non-coding RNA (174 nucleotides) under uncultured Neofusicoccum. RNAcentral describes it as "sequence contains ITS1". The record is from RNAcentral. Lineage: Eukaryota; Fungi; Ascomycota; Dothideomycetes; Botryosphaeriales; Botryosphaeriaceae.